This 1541-nucleotide long non-coding RNA is filed under the name Elaeis guineensis (African oil palm). RNAcentral describes it as "long non-coding RNA (EGUI_LNC016397)". The record is from RNAcentral. Lineage: Eukaryota; Viridiplantae; Streptophyta; Magnoliopsida; Arecales; Arecaceae.
UCAACCAAACAAGUCAAAUAUAAGAUGUGAUAAGUAAUAACAAAAAUAAAUUCUCAAAAAUUAAAUUAAAAUAUACCAAACUGACGAGUCUAAGAAAAAAAAUCUAAAGCUCAUAAAUUAUAAUUAAUAUCCCAUAUUUGCAUUCCAUGGAAAAAACAUUAAAACAAGAAGGAAAAUGAAGCACAAAUAGCAAAAAAUGAAGAAAAUGUGGAACAUGAACAAAAAAGGAUUGAAAAGGAGAAGAACAGAAAGUGAAGAAGAGGAAGGGGAGGAGGAGAGGAAGGAUCUUUUAAUGAAAAAGGGAAGAAGAAGAGGAAUAGCAUGAGAAGAGAAAAGGAACAAAAAAAGGAAAAGGGUAACUAUUGGCAAAAAGCUUUUGGGAGACUUUGGGCAAUUGAAUGACGAUAAACAGUCUAGUGAAGGGUUGUGGGCAUGGGGUAUAGGAUGAUGACUGGAAAAUAGCUAGUUUAUGAGGCAUUAGGUUGGAAGAGCUGGGAAAAUAAUCAAAGUUAAUCAUUUCUCGGUGACGUUAUUUCCAUUUUUAAUUUACUUAAGAUUAUUUCGGUGAUAAUUGUAAUAAGAUUAUUUCCGUGAUAAAAAAAUGAAGUGAUAAAAUACCAAAAAUAAAAGAGAGUACACUCAACCACUGCCUAAGCAAUUGAGCCUCUCUAAGCACUUGUGCAGCUCUUUUGACAAGACCAAAAACCAAUAAAUGUGGUUCCAUAUUGUCGCUGAAAACCCAUUUCCUCUCCCUUUCUCUCCUAAGUUAACCUACAAGUCCUAAUCACACUUCUCCUCUUAGAGGUGGCUUAGUUACAAUUAUGACUUUGGCCCAUCCCCUGUGAUUUAAAUAUUUAAAACUUGAUCCUCAUUCUUGCUAAUAGCAUUGAAUUAGGAUGACAAAUAUCAUUUUUGUUCAAAGCUAAAAUAAACACCUUAAUAAGAUCCAAUCUAGGGUUGGCAAAGAACCAACCAUGGCAGUGUUAAUUUCACUUUGUUGCCUCCAAUAUUGAGCACAAAGAAGCAUCAUUGUCUUUGAAAUGGAUAUAGGGAUGCAAUGCAAAGGAAGUUGAAGAGAGAAGAGAAUGGGUGCUGCAUGGAUAUACACACACAUAUACACAAACACAUAUAAAUAUAAAUAUAUAUCUUUUUUAACAUUUUUACAAUAUCUAUCUCCUUUUCUGUAUUUAUUUAAAAGCAUAGUGUAGUAAAGUACUAGAUAACAUUUAGAAAUGCAGUUCCAUACUGUCGCUGAAAACCCAUUUCCUCUCCCUUUCUCUCCUAAGUUAACCUACAAGUCCUAAUCACACUUCUCCUUUUAGAGGUGGCUUAAUUACAAUUAUGACUUUGGCCCAUCCCCUAUGAUUUAAAUAUUUAAAAUUUGAUCCCCAUUCUUGCUAAUAUCAUUGAAUUAGGACAACAGGUAUCAUUUUUGUUCAAAGCUAACAUAAACACCUUAAUAAGAUCCAAUCUAGGGUUGGCAAAAAACCAACCAAGGCAGUGAUGUUAAUUUCACUUUGUUGCCUCUAAUAUUAAGCAGC